Molecule: ribosomal RNA, 363 nt
Filed under: Triticum aestivum (bread wheat)
Lineage: Eukaryota; Viridiplantae; Streptophyta; Magnoliopsida; Poales; Poaceae
Description: partial small subunit ribosomal RNA
Source: RNAcentral
AUGAAAAGCACACUUUUCCUUAGUUUUCACAGACCUAAUCUUGUGCGGUCUAGGAUCCUUCAUCUUCCCCAGAAAUUGGGUGUUGUAGGCAGAACCAGGAGAGUAGCAGUUAUUAGCUGUGAGACCCAGGUGAGUGGUGAGAAGAAACACUCUUAUCCUCAUGAAAGAGUUGUUAAAUUGCGCCUCAGAAUUUAUUCUCUGAUGGCCUCUCAUCCAUCUGUUAUUCGUCAUCCCAUUCGGACUGAGAGGUUUUUGUGGGCAGCUAGCUUGUAUAGUAUAGCUCUGGCUCAAGGUUUUUGUGCGCGCCAGUUAUCAACCAAUUGUAAUUCCAGAAGGAAGCACAUGCACCGUUGUUGUUGUUGA